UGGCUCAGAUGGUAAAGAGUUUGCCUGCAAUGCAGGAAACCUGGGUUCGAUUCCCAG
Molecule: non-coding RNA, 57 nt
Organism: Bos taurus (domestic cattle)
Lineage: Eukaryota; Metazoa; Chordata; Mammalia; Artiodactyla; Bovidae
Source: Rfam